RNAcentral lists this long non-coding RNA (269 nucleotides) under Setaria viridis. RNAcentral's name for it is "long non-coding RNA (SVIR_LNC005932)". The record is from RNAcentral. Lineage: Eukaryota; Viridiplantae; Streptophyta; Magnoliopsida; Poales; Poaceae.
UCACAGCGAAUAUUCGAAGGCUAACUAGGAGUACUAAACAUGAGCUAAUUAUAAAACUAAUUAUAUAGAUGGAGACUAAUUCACGAGACGAAUCUAUAAAGUCUAAUUAAUCCAUCGUUAGCACAUGUUUACUGUAGCAUCACAUUGUCAAAUCAUGGACUAAUUAGACUUAAUAGAUUCGUCUCGCAAAUUAGUCUCCAUCUGUGCAAUUGGUUUUGUAAUUAGCCUAUAUUUAAUACUCCUAAUUAGUAUCUAAACAUUUGAUGUGA